UGUAGUUUAAUUUAGUGGCUGGAAUCUGGAUGGAAUGUUUUUGUGUAUGGAACAUGUAUUUUAGAACAUAUGCACACUUUUGUAUGGAUUGGAAUAUUAUAUAUGGCUGUGAUAUAUUCAGUUGUAUAGGCUGAUUAUUAUAAUUAUAUAUUCACUUAUAUGGUUUAUAAUCUGUGAUUAUUAUAUAGGUCUGGCCCACGGGGACUGAAUCGUAAUGUCAGAAUGUAAUUAAUUUGAAUUUGCUACAUCACUUGCCAUGUCACCAUACAU
Molecule: long non-coding RNA, 270 nt
Filed under: Sorghum bicolor (sorghum)
Lineage: Eukaryota; Viridiplantae; Streptophyta; Magnoliopsida; Poales; Poaceae
Description: long non-coding RNA (SBIC_LNC014767)
Source: RNAcentral